AUUGAACGCUGGCGGCAGGCCUAACACAUGCAAGUCGAACGGUAACAGGAAACAGCUUGCUGUUUCGCUGACGAGUGGCGGACGGGUGAGUAAUGUCUGGGAAACUGCCUGAUGGAGGGGGAUAACUACUGGAAACGGUAGCUAAUACCGCAUAACGUCGCAAGACCAAAGAGGGGGACCCUCGGGCCUCUUGCCAUCGGAUGUGCCCAGAUGGGAUUAGCUUGUUGGUGGGGUAACGGCUCACCCAGGCGACGAUCCCUAGCUGGUCUGAGAGGAUGACCAGCCACACUGGAACUGAGACACGGUCCAGACUCCUACGGGAGGCAGCAGUGGGGAAUAUUGCACAAUGGGCGCAAGCCUGAUGCAGCCAUGCCGCGUGUAUGAAGAAGGCCUUCGGGUUGUAAAGUACUUUCAGCGGGGAGGAAGGGAGUAAAGUUAAUACCUUUGCUCAUUGACGUUACCCGAAGAAGAAGCACCGGCUAACUCCGUG
This 490-nucleotide ribosomal RNA is filed under the name uncultured bacterium. Its description in RNAcentral is "partial 16S ribosomal RNA". It matches the Rfam family "Bacterial small subunit ribosomal RNA", at positions 30 to 507 of the family's 1533-position model. The record is from RNAcentral.